Molecule: ribosomal RNA, 253 nt
Filed under: uncultured prokaryote
Description: partial 16S ribosomal RNA
Rfam family: Bacterial small subunit ribosomal RNA
Source: RNAcentral
ACAGAGGGGGCAAGCGUUGCUCGGAAUCACUGGGCGUAAAGGGCGCGUAGGCGGGAUGGCAAGUCAGUCGUGAAAUCUCUCGGCUCAACCGAGAAACGUCGGCUGAUACUGCCGUUCUUGAGGGAUGCAGAGGAGACUGGAAUUCCCGGUGUAGCGGUGAAAUGUGUAGAGAUCGGGAGGAACACCGGUGGCGAAGGCGGCUCACUGGCUCAUUACUGACGCUCAGGCGCGAUAGCGUGGGGAUCAAACAGGA